Perca flavescens (yellow perch) is the source of this 772-nucleotide long non-coding RNA. RefSeq lists it as uncharacterized. Lineage: Eukaryota; Metazoa; Chordata; Actinopteri; Perciformes; Percidae. The record is from RefSeq and is a predicted model, not a curated record. The transcript is spliced from 3 exons.
UGUUUGCUGAUAGACCGCUUUUUCUUCCUUUUUUUUGAAAGAUGAUAGUAACUGUGGUCACCAUGAACGAUCUGGCACACAUUUAAAAGUCUGUCUUUUUCUAGAAAAAGUAAAAGAUUAGCUAAACAUCUCGGUGCCCACCAGCCGCGGGAUAUUGUUAUAAACCAAACCUCUGAUAAAAAUGAUCAGAUUGAGCGUGAAGUGGUUCUCCAGGUCAAAAUGGUUAACUGCUAGCUAGCUUGUCAGAGAAGACGCUUCUUAUUUUGCUUCCCGUGUGUGUUAUUUGGAGAGGAUGGUAUCUAGUUAAGAAUAUAGGCUUUUAAGACCUCAAGCAUCUUUCUGAGAUAAUUAAAAAAACAAAAAAGCAGCAGGAUAACGCCGUAAAGUUGGACUUGCUCGGCAGAACAUUCUUGGCUAACGUUUACGCUAGCUACCCAAACUGACAGCGCUUAAACUGGGGAUUGAGCAGUUAAACAGCACGCUGAGGAGAACAGAGGUCAUGACAGGGAGGUGUCAUUUAAGGUUUGAUGGGUAAUCCUAAUGUAUGCCAACGUUCUGGAAAGCCUCACGUGAUCUCUAGGAGCACUUAUGACUGAUCAGAAGCUGGAGGGUGAGAUGGUCAAGGGCAGACCGGUCCAGUCCAUCACAAGGCAAACACAGAACACAGACAAACACAGAAUACAGAACAUCUGCACCCAGACUGACACCCAUGGGACCGUAUAUAUGCAUUUAAGUCUGAUUUAUUAUCUUAUUGUCAUGUAGUUUGACAAAU